GGGGGCUCCAGGGAGUACAACGCUGCCACGUACCCGGCUCCCGUGGCCUCCUUCCAGCGGGCAUGCAGGGCGGAGGUGCUCCCCUGGCUGGAGAGGGUUGCCCCAGAUGGCGCUAGCGGCUCUGCAAGGCAGAAUGGCUGCUACUUCAGGAGCCCAUCCCCCGGGGUUUGCAGGCCUCCGGCUGCAGGGGCCCUGUGAACCUUCUGGGGACGCUCCCUGCACGAGCCCUGCUCCUCACAACAGAGCCGCUCUCAGCUCACAGCCCCUCCCCAGCGGAGGAGGACGCCUUGCAGCUCACCUGUCUCGCCCAGCUC
Non-coding RNA from Pelodiscus sinensis (Chinese soft-shelled turtle), 314 nucleotides. The record is from RefSeq and is a predicted model, not a curated record. Lineage: Eukaryota; Metazoa; Chordata; Testudines; Trionychidae.